ACUCAAAUGAAUUGACGGGGGCCCGCACAAGCGGUGGAUGAUGUGGAUUAAUUCGAUGCAACGCGAAAAACCUUACCUGGUCUUGACAUGUAUAGAACCCUGAAGAGAUUUGGGGGUGCCGCAAGGAGCUAUAACACAGGUGCUGCAUGGCUGUCGUCAGCUCGUGUCGUGAGAUGUUGGGUUAAGUCCCGCAACGAGCGCAACCCUUGCCAUUAGUUGCCAGCAUUAAGUUGGGCACUCUAAUGGGACUGCCGGUGACAAACCGGAGGAAGGUGGGGAUGACGUCAAGUCCUCAUGGCCCUUAUGACCAGGGCUUCACACGUCAUACAAUGGUCGGUACAGAGGGUCGCCAACCCGCGAGGGGGAGCCAAUCCCAGAAAACCGAUCGUAGUCCGGAUUGCAGUCUGCAACUCGACUGCAUGAAGUCGGAAUCGCUAGUAAUCGCGGAUCAGCAUGUCGCGGUGAAUACGUUCCCGGGCCUUGUACACACCGCCCGU
Molecule: ribosomal RNA, 497 nt
Filed under: uncultured bacterium
Lineage: Bacteria
Description: partial 16S ribosomal RNA
Rfam family: Bacterial small subunit ribosomal RNA
Source: RNAcentral